RNAcentral lists this ribosomal RNA (492 nucleotides) under uncultured bacterium. RNAcentral describes it as "partial 16S ribosomal RNA". It matches the Rfam family "Bacterial small subunit ribosomal RNA", at positions 29 to 507 of the family's 1533-position model. The record is from RNAcentral.
AGUGAACGCUGGCGGUAGGCCUAACACAUGCAAGUCGAACGGCAGCACAGUAAGAGCUUGCUCUUACGGGUGGCGAGUGGCGGACGGGUGAGGAAUACAUCGGAAUCUACUUUUUCGUGGGGGAUAACGUAGGGAAACUUACGCUAAUACCGCAUACGACCUACGGGUGAAAGCAGGGGAUCUUCGGACCUUGCGCGAUUGAAUGAGCCGAUGUCGGAUUAGCUAGUUGGCGGGGUAAAGGCCCACCAAGGCGACGAUCCGUAGCUGGUCUGAGAGGAUGAUCGGCCACACUGGAACUGGGACACGGUCCAGACUCCUACGGGAGGCAGCAGUGGGGAAUAUUGGACAAUGGGCGCAAGCCUGAUCCAGCCAUACCGCGUGGGUGAAGAAGGCCUUCGGGUUGUAAAGACCUUUUGUUAGGAGAGAAAAGCAGCAGGUUAAUACCCCGCUGUUCUGACGGUACCCAAAGAAUAAGCACCGGCUAACUUCGUG